This 462-nucleotide ribosomal RNA is filed under the name Leptotrichia sp. oral clone BP2-81. Its description in RNAcentral is "bacterial SSU rRNA". It matches the Rfam family "Bacterial small subunit ribosomal RNA", at positions 8 to 486 of the family's 1533-position model. Lineage: Bacteria; Fusobacteriati; Fusobacteriota; Fusobacteriia; Fusobacteriales; Leptotrichiaceae. The record is from RNAcentral.
AGAGUUUGAUCCUGGCUCAGGAUGAACGCUGACAGAAUGCUUAACACAUGCAAGUCUUUGGCGAAGCUGUGCUUGCACAGCCUAGCCAAGGCGGACGGGUGAGUAACGCGUAAGGGACUUGCCCUGCAGUCAGGGAUAACAGACGGAAACGACUGAUAAAACCUGGUAAAGUCAGGCGGACUCAUGUCCAGCCUGAUGAAAAGGAAUGCUGCAGGAGAGCCUUGCGUCCUAUUAGCUUGUUGGUGGGGUAACGGCCCACCAAGGCGAUGAUAGGUAGCCGGCCUGAGAGGGUGGACGGCCACAAGGGGACUGAGAUACGGCCCUUACUCCUACGGGAGGCAGCAGUGGGGAAUAUUGGACAAUGGGGGCAACCCUGAUCCAGCAAUUCUGUGUGCACGAUGAAGGUCUUCGGAUUGUAAAGUGCUUUCAGCAGGGAAGAAAAAAAUGACGGUACCUGCAGAA